This 77-nucleotide transfer RNA is filed under the name Betaproteobacteria bacterium. Its description in RNAcentral is "tRNA-Asn". It matches the Rfam family "tRNA". From Rfam's summary of the family: Transfer RNA (tRNA) molecules are approximately 80 nucleotides in length. Their secondary structure includes four short double-helical elements and three loops (D, anti-codon, and T loops). Lineage: Bacteria; Pseudomonadati; Pseudomonadota; Betaproteobacteria. The record is from RNAcentral.
UGUCCAGUAGCUCCAAUUGGUAGAGCGGCGCCCUGUUACGGCGAGGGAUGCGGGUUCGAAGCCUGCCUGGACAGCCA